AUGUCCAACCCCGAAUCGAGCCCCCAAGCCGCCGCGUCGUCCACCUCGCCUCCCUCCCACGCCGGCCACAUCCACACCCCGCUCUGCCGCUCCUGCGGCGCGCCCGCCGCGGCGCCCGCCCCAGCCCCCUGGACGGGGGAUUCCCCGCCGCCCGCCUACCGCCCCAUCCGCAUGCCGGCCAUCAACGCGCCCACCAACACCGCUGCCAUCGUCCUCUCCCCGGUCCCGCAGCCCCUGCCGGUGCCGCCCGCCUUGCCGCCCUUCGCCUUCCAGGCCCCCGCCAAGCGAAUCGCGUCCCCCGACGACAUCGCGCGCUUCAAGGACUCCACCCACGGCCGCCACUUCCUCGGCUUCGUCGCCUCGCUCUCCGCCUCCGUGCACGGCCGCAAGCUCUCCGACCCGCUCCCCUCCCCUCCCUCCCCCGCCGUCUCGGCCCUCCUCGACCUCAUCUCCGCGCUGUCCGCCUUCGUCGCCUCCACCCCGCCGUUCCCGCACAGCUCCCGCUACGGCAACCCCGCCUUCCGCCUCUGGCACGAGAAGCUCGGCAGCUCCGUCAACGAGCUGAUCGCUCCGAUCACAGCCGCCGCCGCGUCCCCCUCGGACCUCGUCGGCGCCGAGGUCGAGCUCGCGCCGUACCUCCUCGACUCCUUCGGCAACGGCACCCGCAUCGACUACGGCACGGGGCACGAGACCAACUUCGCCGCCUUCCUGUACUGCCUGGCGCGACUCGGGCUCAUCACCGACCCCGAUUACCCCGCCGUCGUGCUACGCGUGUUUGCUUCCUACCUCGACCUCAUGCGCACGCUGCAGGACACGUACCUGCUGGAGCCUGCGGGCUCGCAUGGCGUCUGGGGACUAGAUGAUUACCAUUUCCUGCCCUUUGUGUUUGGGGCUGCACAACUGAUUGAUCAUAAGUACAUGAAACCCAAGUCGAUCCACAACCCGGAUAUCUUGGAGAACUUCUCAAAGGAGUACAUGUACCUGGCGUGCGUCAUGUAUGUGAAGAAAGUGAAGAAGGGGCCCUUUGCAGAGCAUUCGCCGAUGUUGGAUGAUAUCAGCGCCGUGCCGAACUGGAAGAAGGUGAACAGUGGGUUGCUCAAGAUGUACAAGGCUGAAGUGCUUGAGAAGGUGCCCAUCAUGCAGCAUUUCCUCUUCGGCUCACUUAUCAAAUGGGAGGAUUGA
Molecule: ribosomal RNA, 1182 nt
Filed under: Triticum aestivum (bread wheat)
Lineage: Eukaryota; Viridiplantae; Streptophyta; Magnoliopsida; Poales; Poaceae
Description: partial small subunit ribosomal RNA
Source: RNAcentral